UACGACACAGGAAGGCAUCUUCUCUGUGUGGAAAGCUCCGGCGGUGCAGGAUGAGCCCGCGGCCUAUCAGCUUGUUGGUGGGGUGAUGGCCUACCAAGGCGACGACGGGUAGCCGGCCUGAGAGGGCGACCGGCCACACUGGGACUGAGACACGGCCCAGACUCCUACGGGAGGCAGCAGUGGGGAAUAUUGCACAAUGGGCGAAAGCCUGAUGCAGCGACGCCGCGUGAGGGAUGACGGCCUUCGGGUUGUAAACCUCUUUCAGCAGGGAAGAAGCGCAAGUGACGGUACCUGCAGAAGAAGCACCGGCUAACUACGUGCCAGCAGCCGCGGUAAUACGUAGGGUGCGAGCGUUGUCCGGAAUUAUUGGGCGUAAAGAGCUCGUAGGCGGCUUGUCACGUCGGAUGUGAAAGCCCGGGGCUUAACCCCGGGUCUGCAUUCGAUACGGGCAGGCUAGAGUUCGGUAGGGGAGAUCGGAAUUCCUGGUGUAGCGGUGAAAUGCGCAGAUAUCAGGAGGAACACCGGUGGCGAAGGCGGAUCUCUGGGCCGAUACUGACGCUGAGGAGCGAAAGC
This 573-nucleotide ribosomal RNA is filed under the name Streptomyces coelicolor. RNAcentral describes it as "bacterial SSU rRNA". It matches the Rfam family "Bacterial small subunit ribosomal RNA", at positions 173 to 760 of the family's 1533-position model. The record is from RNAcentral. Lineage: Bacteria; Bacillati; Actinomycetota; Actinomycetes; Kitasatosporales; Streptomycetaceae.